GGGAGGCUGAGGGAGACUUGACCGCAGAAGAGACGGGAGGUGAUGGAGGAAGCGGGAAUGGAGAGACACGCCCUCAGCCGGCGCCGGCUGCUUCUAGAGAUGGAAUCGACAAGGAAGGGCUUCUCCCCUGGAACCAGCCCUGCUGACACUUUGAUUUUAGCCCCAGGAGACUCAUGGUGGAUCUCUGGCCUCCAGAACCAUAAGAGAAUAAAUUUGGUUGUGAAGAGCCACUAAGUUUGUGGUAUUUCUUAUAGCAGCAGCAAGCAAAUUAAUCCGGAGGUGACGUUGCCUCACCUAGGACCACAGAGCCAGUCUGGGGGGUAGGACCAGACCCCUCGCAGUGCUUCCAGCUUGGUGCCUUGCCGGCCUCAGCUUCUCCUCCCAGGACUCAGCGUUGCGUUGCGGGGCCUCCCUCCCUCUGCGCCUCCUGGAAGCCUGUCCCGCCAGCCCCGAGGCCAGGUCAGACGCUCUGUGGAGAGCCGUCAUCCAGGAUCCCCACCUCUCCUCCCGGAAACUCUCCCUCCCCUCUGCUCUCCACCUGCCGGCCUCAGUGGCUGGAAGCCCCCUCCAUUCCGAUGAAGGCUGCCCCCCCACACCCCCGAUGCCUCAUUCCUCCUCCACCGUCAGCACCUCCAGAGCACUGACUCCGACUGCUCCGUGGGGUAGAGGCCCUGCUCGCUCACUCGUCAUUCAUUUGUUCACUGGGUCUUCAUUCAACAAACAUCAAUCAGGCACCCACAGGUGCCGGGCAGCGUCUUGGUGCUGGGGAUACAGCAUGAACAAAACAGAGAAGUUCCCCGGCUGGGUGAGCUCCAUUCCAGUGGGCGCAGACCCACACAAAAGCACUAGGUGCCGGACAAGCUAAUAUACGAGUGAAAUACCAAGCUCACACCCACGGUGAAUUCUCCCGCUAACGGGUGACCCUACAUGGAGCAUGCCUUUGUCCAUGCGUCCAUCCACUAUGGAUGCCCAGGGCUCUGCUGUGGAGAAGAAUCUCCGUGCCCUGGGGAUGACAGAGGUAACCAUAGCCAGUGACCUUUCAAGGCUCUGUGCCCUUCACGGCAGCUGUCACACGGGCUCCCAGCUCUGCUUCCAUAUCCUCACUGACCAGUUGCUCCCCCUGCCCAGAGCAGCUUCGACCGUGAGCAGAUGCUCUCCAAGUUUAACACGUCUCCUUGUAUCCUACCCCACUUCUGUCUACUGAAGGCC
RNAcentral lists this long non-coding RNA (1209 nucleotides) under Equus caballus (horse). RNAcentral describes it as "lncRNA (ENSECAG00000056764.1)". The record is from RNAcentral. Lineage: Eukaryota; Metazoa; Chordata; Mammalia; Perissodactyla; Equidae.